GUUUCAUUUGAUCCGAUAUAAAUGCUUCAUUGUCAGGUUGAGAGACAGGACAGGAAUGGCAAGAAAGGCAGGAAUGAGGGAUCAUGGAUAGAAAAGGCUCUGAAGUUGGGAAAAUUGAGUCUGGGUCGUUUCAUCAUCAGAUAGUUCUGUCAAGAAGGAACAAGAAGAAGGAAAGAAAUGGUAUUAUUUUCUCACUUAAUGCCCAUUCAUGUCAGGCCACGUACCAGGUACUUUCAUUACAUGCCAACCAUGUGACUUGGGACAAGUUAAUUCCCAAGUCACAGUUUCCUUGGAGAUGAUACUAGUAGAAUUGUGUGAGAAUUAAGUUACUCAAUACAUGUAAAACACAAACAUGGUAGCACAUGUUAUUGAAUACAUGUAAAACAUAAACAUAGUAGCACAAAGAAAGUAUACUGUAACUAUGAUAACGAUUAUGUCUGAUUUUGUCACACUAUGCUGGUGCCUCACUUUAUCUUUGGGGUCUGUUUAUUCAUCAGUAAAACUCAGGGAGAGGGGGGUUAGGUGAGUUGAUCUCUAAGAUUAUUCAUAAAAUGUUCUGGUUCUUUUGUUUUAGAGAGCGGAGAAGGCAAAGAGGAACAGACUGGGAAAGAGACUGGAUAGAUUCUAAUAUGGUGAAAACAUCAGAAGCAGUUCAGGGACUAGGAAGUGGGAACUCUAGAGAUGACAGACAUUCUGCUGGGUGGUUUUUAAAGUUUCUUCCAGAGUCAUCUGCCUCAUUAACAACAAUUUUUGUGGAAGAAGUCUGUCUUUGAUUUUAUGAACUCACGUGACUCCUUGGUCUGUUACGAAUGCACAAUGCUCCAGUCCUUCAAUAAGCCCAUUACAUACUUUCACCAUGUCAUCUAUAGGUGCUUUUUCUCCAGUGUAAACAUCAUCUUCGUCAUCACUCUUACAAUGCUCACCUUGAUUCAGAACCAUUUUGACCAUUCACAUCAGUCAAUGAAUGAACAACUGAAGUGUCAUCAUGGACAGUAAAAACUUCUUCCAUAUCCUCUUCUUUCAGCCUACUGACAGACUCGGAAGGUGUAUAUUUCACAUAUGGCAGGAGGUCAGACUUUUUUUUCAACUUGACAUACAGAAUCCUUCAAAGUCACUACCUUGUUCUUCAUCAUCACUGAGCAUACCUGCAGGCCAGAUAUUGCACCACGCAUGCACAACUGUGUCUCUAGUUAUUGUGUUCCAAGUGUUGGAACAGUAUAUAUGGCAUCUUUCACGCCAAACUCUUUUGAAAACUUUCCACACCCAUGCCCCUGUUCCCUGCUGCUAGCCUGCUGUUCAAGAAAGUGUUUUUAUAUUUACUCUUCUUCUGUAUAUGGUGUGAAAGGAAAAUAAAUCUCAGGACCCCCAAAUCACUAAGCCAAAUGAAAAAGUCAAGGUGGGAAUUGCAUCAGACAAUUUGCCUCACAUUUUAUUCCUAAAGAAGAUAGCUACAAAGAUAAAGAGAGAGAGAAAGAAAAAGAAAGAGAAAGAAAGAAAGAAAGGAAAGAAAGAAAGGCAAGCAAGCAAGCUACAUACCUUCCUCACAAUUUGCCCACUUGGAAAUUCCUUGUGGGCUCAAGAUCUUUACCCUAAAAUGGUUCUGUUGAAUUUUAUCCUGACAGUGUAAAUUGAUAGCUUAUCUAAACAGUUGCAGGACAAAGGACAAAACCGAAAGUCAUCCCUCUGCUCACUUAAGACAAAUGCACAUCUGAAUGCUUCACCUGAUGUAAAAGUGUGAUUCACUGAGCUACAUGAAAGCAUGAGUGACUAUUAUUCCUCUACCCACCACCCCCCCAACCCCCCCUCCCUGCCAACAUGUAAAUUGUGUAUUCAGUGAAAGGCUGAUCAAACACAAAAAAGAAUGAAACAAUUUGUCUCUUAUCUACCCACAACUUUAAAAGAUGUAUUCCUUUUUCCCCAAUAUCCACCCUUUCCCUUUAAAUAUUGAAGCCCUCAAAAUAAUCUUUGGAGAAAGGCACAGACAUGUUUGCUUGGUGUACAUAUUUAACCUUGGCAAAAUAAACAUUCUAAAUUCAUUGAGACCUGUCUCAGAUACUUUUGUUUACAAAGGAUACCCUG
Molecule: long non-coding RNA, 2079 nt
Filed under: Homo sapiens (human)
Lineage: Eukaryota; Metazoa; Chordata; Mammalia; Primates; Hominidae
Description: HSALNT0084217
Source: RNAcentral